UCUCUUUUUAUUGAUUAAAACACAUUAGGAGUUUUAUUUAUACAAUUAGUAGAUUUUGAGUUAUGAGUAUUUUCUUUUUAUUGUAUAUGUGAAGAUGACUGUAAAAGUGAGAGUGUUUGUUGAUAAGUACUGUGUAAUGCCCAUUUUUUUACCCGGGCCCACACAAAAAAAAUAUAAACCAAAUUCAAAAUUAAUAACAGUUCAAUAGCAGUCUAUUUACAAUAGUCUAUGUGGCCCACUACCCAAACACUAGCCUAGCCCAAUAUUUGGCCCAUUAGCCUAAAUAUCCAGGCCCAAACUAGCCUAAGCAUUGGGAAAUCAGAAACCCUAGGCGGCAACAUUCGGCCUCAGCAGAGCCAGGCCUCCUCCUCGCACGUGUUACGCCUGCGCGCGUGUAGUGCCACCGCGCCAAAUUCACACGAGCCUCCACGUCCACUGCUCCGUACGCCUGCAACAAAUAAAAACGAACAAAGCAGCAGGCAAAAUGAGCAAAAUAGCAGAAAGGGCCAAUGAAUAAAUAGAUUUAUUUUAUUUUAUUUACUCUAAUUUUUUUAUUUUGGCUAUAAAAGGGCCAAAGGAGUAUGUACUAAGGAUUUUUACAGAGAUUGAAUAGAAACAAAAAAAAGCAGAAAGUUUUUUCGAAAGGUGAUUUUCUCUGUUUUUUCUUUCUUUUUAUUUUCUUUGAUUCUUUGUUUUCUUCUUUUGCACCAAACGAAAAUAAAAGAGGAGGGGAAGAAGUGUCUUACCAGAGGAGAUGCCAUCGGAACCUGGUUUGCUCCGUCUGAAUCGGAGUCAGAUCGGGUUCAUGACUGGAAACGGCGGAGAAAAGCUAGGCUAUUGAUCUGUUUUAGAAUGGCAAAAUAACUUAUUAGGGUUUUAUUCUUUU
This 886-nucleotide long non-coding RNA is filed under the name Gossypium barbadense (sea-island cotton). RNAcentral's name for it is "long non-coding RNA (GBAR_LNC018122)". The record is from RNAcentral. Lineage: Eukaryota; Viridiplantae; Streptophyta; Magnoliopsida; Malvales; Malvaceae.